CAAGAUGGCUGCCAGGUGCGGUGGCUAAACCUGGGGACAUCUGAAGCCGGUGCCGACCAUCAGGGCCGAGUUUCGACGAGAGAGUGUGUCGAUGUUAAGAUAUUAAGCCGAGUUGGCCAGGUCCCUAAGUCUUGGAUGGCGAGCUGUAGAUAGGCCUUGAGCCCGAGCCCAAGGAUCUCCACCUCUCAACCCCUGAACUCCACUUGCUCUGGUCGGGCCGGUAGGCGGCCUUAUAGCCGAACCCCUUGCCUCGCACCUCAUUACUCUGCGGCCCUUUGCACUACCUCAUACACACCCUGCCCAUAAACUGAACUCUCACUACAAACUGCCGUAUCCACAACCCCAACCCGUGUGGCUGUAUGAACUGUGAAUGCGCAUAUGGACUGUGAUCAGUCUCAUAUGACUCCUAUGAACUUUAAGAACUUUUGAUACUACCUUGUAUGAAUUACCUGAACUCUUAAUCAAUGAACUAAACCAACAUUGUUUGAGAUUUUUUUGUUUUUUUCUUUUGUUUUGAAUGGCCAUUCCUAUCAAUGUCUGUCCACUAUUUGUUGCACUGUACAUAUUUAAAUAACACCAGUAUCAUUUAAAGCAUUUAAUUGUGUCUGUCCUAAUCUCUCCGAGUCGUAAUCUAGACUUCUGAUUAGCCAAAUAUUGAGAACUUCUACUAUACUAGCUAAAGUACCUGUUACAUGCGCACGCAGAAACAUUCGUGAGGGAGGGGCAGAGACAUAGAGCGAGAGAGCUAGUGAGUGGAGAGACAGACAUGAAAACAAGAAAUGCUGAAACGUAAAUGCAACUUCACGGAUGAU
Molecule: long non-coding RNA, 812 nt
Organism: Entelurus aequoreus (snake pipefish)
Lineage: Eukaryota; Metazoa; Chordata; Actinopteri; Syngnathiformes; Syngnathidae
Exons: 3
Source: RefSeq, a predicted model, not a curated record